AUGUGGACCCGUCUUCGUCAGCGCUAUCAGCCCUCUGGUCAUGCCUUAUACCUUUCUGUGGUCCGUCAGGAGCAUGCUCUUCAGCAGGGUGACUCUACUGUUGAUGACUUCUAUGCACAGAGUUCUGCUAUCUGGCGCCAGCUUGAUUCUCUCCGCAGUGCUGGUUGUCAUACCUGCCCCUGUUGUCAGGCUGUCCAGGCCAAUUUGGAGUUUCAUCGCGUCUAUGAGUUCCUGUCUCGGCUCCGUAAGGAGUUUGAGCCCCGGCGUGCUCAAUUGUUUGAUCGUGGCCGUAUUUCUCUCAUGGAGGCGCUUUCUGAGAUUCGUGCUGAGGAGACUCGCUUACGUGGUGCUGGUUUGCUGGAGGUUCCCUCUGUGCUCGCUACUCGUGCUCCUACGCCACCUGCUGCACCGACCCCUUCUCGCUCGAGUGCUCCGCCGCUCUUGCCCACUCCUUCUGGAGGCUCAGGUCGCCCCCGUCCACAUUGCGACUAUUGCAACAAUGAUGGUCAUCUUGAGUCUCAGUGCUACACGAAGAAGAAACACCUGCGCAAGGCGCGAUCGUCAUCUUCAGGGACUUCGUCA
RNAcentral lists this ribosomal RNA (582 nucleotides) under Triticum aestivum (bread wheat). RNAcentral describes it as "partial small subunit ribosomal RNA". Lineage: Eukaryota; Viridiplantae; Streptophyta; Magnoliopsida; Poales; Poaceae. The record is from RNAcentral.